CCUACGGGAGGCAGCAGUGAGGAAUAUUGGUCAAUGGCCGGAAGGCUGAACCAGCCAUGCCGCGUGAAGGUCAGUGCCCUUUGGGCGUUAAACUUCUUUUGUGCGGGAGCAAUAAUGGUCACGUGUGGCCAGACGAGAGUACCGUACGACUAAGCAUCGGCUAACUCCGUGCCAGCAGCCGCGAUAAUACGGGGGAUGCAAGCGUUAUCCGGAAUUAAUGGGUUUAAAGGGUGCGUAGGCUGUGAGGUAAGUCAGCGGUGAAAUGCCCCCGGUCAACGGGGUGAAGUGCCAUUGAUACUGCCUUGCUUGAAUGCGGAUGCCGGGGGAGGAAU
This 332-nucleotide ribosomal RNA is filed under the name uncultured bacterium. RNAcentral's name for it is "partial 16S ribosomal RNA". It matches the Rfam family "Bacterial small subunit ribosomal RNA", at positions 338 to 667 of the family's 1533-position model. The record is from RNAcentral.